Molecule: ribosomal RNA, 465 nt
Filed under: uncultured bacterium
Lineage: Bacteria
Description: bacterial SSU rRNA
Rfam family: Bacterial small subunit ribosomal RNA
Source: RNAcentral
GACGAACGCUGGCGGCGCGCCUAACACAUGCAAGUCGAACGAGCGAGAGAGAGCUUGCUUUCUCGAGCGAGUGGCGAACGGGUGAGUAACGCGUGAGGAACCUGCCUCAAAGAGGGGGACAACAGUUGGAAACGACUGCUAAUACCGCAUAAGCCCACGGCUCGGCAUCGAGCAGAGGGAAAAGGAGCAAUCCGCUUUGAGAUGGCCUCGCGUCCGAUUAGCUAGUUGGUGAGGUAACGGCCCACCAAGGCGACGAUCGGUAGCCGGACUGAGAGGUUGAACGGCCACAUUGGGACUGAGACACGGCCCAAACUCCUACGGGAGGCAGCAGUGGGGAAUAUUGCACAAUGGGGGAAACCCUGAUGCAGCGACGCCGCGUGAGUGAAGAGUAUUUCGGUAUGUAAAGCUCUAUCAGCAGGGAAGAAAAUGACGGUACCUGACUAAGAAGCCCCGGCUAACUACGUG